Molecule: long non-coding RNA, 804 nt
Filed under: Homo sapiens (human)
Lineage: Eukaryota; Metazoa; Chordata; Mammalia; Primates; Hominidae
Description: HSALNT0297835
Source: RNAcentral
GUAGAAUUACUGUUGGGAAGUAACUAUGGCAUUAAGGUCUUCCAAGAAGCAGAUGCCAAGAUGGGCUCAAAUGUGCAAGAUAUUUAUGGAAAACCACCUAUGAAGGACAAAGGAACAGAGAACAAGAGCCUUCCCCCAUGUCUAAUACCUGUGAAAGGAGAGAGAGAAGGAAGAAUUUAGUAGGAAGAGCCUGAGGUUGCUGCUUAGUUCUGAGAAAGCCUCAGCGAGGCCGAUGGAGAGCCCUUGAGCUGAGGUUGCCCAUUAGACAAAUUCUGCAUCAGAUGAGGGAAGGAAUCAUAAUUGGCUAACAAGAGGAGAUACAUUUGACUAUGUUAAGAGAACUGGAGGUGCUGAUCAGAAACCCACAAAUAUCUGCCAGGCUGGCAACAGACCCUAAAGAGAGGAAACUUGUGAAAAUCUCAGAAGAGGAUAUGGGAAGCAAAUGAGAUUAACAAAAAACAGUUGAGGAGCAAGCUAAAUUCCUACAGGCAAUAGUGGGACCAGAGCUCAUAGGCUGGCACCAAUAGUACAGUUUGGUCCCAAGGAGAAGCAGCAAGGCCAUGCAGGGAAUCACAUAAACAGAUCAGAAACUGAAGUUUGGCUUGCUGACGUGACUUGCUCAAGGUCACAUAGCUACGAAUUGUAGACCUAGAACUAAAAACAUCCUGGCUCCUUGUCUAGUUUUUAUUGCUCUAUCCCAGGUUGUCUAGCUUAACUAACUCUUGCUUCAUGGAGCUUGUAGGAAAGGAUGCCCUGCAAAUGCAGGACGUAAGCAUCUGGGGAAUAUAUCCAAUCAUUCUUGCA